Molecule: ribosomal RNA, 439 nt
Filed under: uncultured Flavobacteriaceae bacterium
Lineage: Bacteria; Pseudomonadati; Bacteroidota; Flavobacteriia; Flavobacteriales; Flavobacteriaceae
Description: bacterial LSU rRNA
Rfam family: Bacterial large subunit ribosomal RNA
Source: RNAcentral
AAUAAGCUAAAUAAGAGCGUAUGGGGAACGCCUAGGCUCUCAGAGGCGAUGAAGGACGUGAUAAGCUGCGAAAAGCUGCGGGGAUUGGCACAUACAAAUUGAUCCGCAGAUAUCCGAAUGGGGCAACCCAGCAUGUUGAAGACAUGUUAUCCGUAAGGAGGCGAACCCGGAGAACUGAAACAUCUAAGUACCCGGAGGAGAAGAAAACAAAAGUGAUUCCGAUAGUAGCGGCGAGCGAACUUGGAAUAGCCCAAACCAGUAUUGUUACGGCAAUACUGGGGUUGUAGGACUGCGAUAUUUGAGCUAUAAUGAAUUAGAACUGUUUGGAAAGACAGGCCAUAGAAAGUGAUAGCCCUGUAUAAGUAAAGAUUAGUAAUAUAGCAGUAUCCUGAGUAGUGCGGGGCACGUGAAACCCUGUAUGAAUUUGUCGGGACCAUCC